Non-coding RNA from Acanthosepion pharaonis, 114 nucleotides. NCBI's taxonomy places the organism in Eukaryota, Metazoa, Mollusca, Cephalopoda, Sepiida, Sepiidae. The record is from the annotation of a GenBank genome assembly.
UUGUGACUAUAUCACGUUGAAACCACGGUUCUCUUCUGAUCACUGAAGAUAAGCAACGUCGAGCCUGAUCAGUACCUAGAUGGGUAACCUCUUGGGAAUACCAGGUGCUGUAAG